RNAcentral lists this long non-coding RNA (5027 nucleotides) under Sus scrofa (pig). Its description in RNAcentral is "lncRNA (ENSSSCG00050059503.1)". The record is from RNAcentral. Lineage: Eukaryota; Metazoa; Chordata; Mammalia; Artiodactyla; Suidae.
AGAGCGUGGAGGUGGCGCGGGCGCGGCGGUGGGCCUGGGGGUCGUCACUCCUGCAGCUGGCAGCCGCCGCUCCGCGCUUCCUGCCGCAUCUCUCUUGCCCGGCGGGCGCCCAUCCCGUCCCGCCCCGGCCCGUGGACCUGCAAACCGAGGCUCAGAGCGGAUUUGCCCUAGGGGCUUUCACGAGCUUAGCAGAGGGGUUCCCGGCGGGGUUCCCUGGGGUCACGGGGCGCGAUGAGCAGCGAAGAAAGGAGGCGAGGAGCUGCGUCCGGGCUGGGUGCUCUCUGAACGCGAGGAGGCGGGAUGCGCUCGCCGGGGUCCAUGAUGUGCUCGGCGCCCGUCCCUGGGCCCGGGAAUGCGGCCGCUGGGGAACCCGGGCCAGCGAAUUCGCCCGCGAUCUCCGCGGAUCCCAGGACUGCCAGCGCUUUGGCCCUAGAUGGACGGUGGGGAAUGGGGUAGGGGGCUCCGGAACCCCUAACGUGGAUUACUUGGUGCAUAUCGCCCGGGCAUGGAAGACCCACCACCUCGUCUCCACCCGUGGAUUGAUGUCUUCUGCCGAACAGGUCGCUUACCUGGAGGUGGAACCAGAGAUUCGUGGCUGCUGUGAGUAGGUGCUUCUGACGGGGAAAGAAGGACAAGAUGAGAGGCCUGGAAGGAAGGACCGAUACAGGGCUGUUCUUCCUCGCCCACGCUUCCCACCAGGAACUUCUGUGGAGCCAGAGUUUGCCGCCAGGACCCCCACAGGACCUGGGUGAAACAGGACCAUCUCUUAAGAGGCAAGAGCUCUUGAUUUGAUUGAGGAUUCUUAUUUUGGAGAACAAAGCAACUUCCAGAUUUGAGAAGACCUACAGUUGAAGAAGACACCAUUGUCCCGGAUCCCUUGUUCUUCCUUCGCGUGGGAAAUGUUUCUUGGCGGGUUCCUGGUCUUAAGACUCCCCCACACCGGCCCCGGGGAAGCCAAGGACUUUCUGCCACACCCUUCCUCGCCCCCCACCUCCCACGUCCGCUGUGCCUUUGGACUCGGCAAUUCUUCUUGUUUGCUCCAUUAUCUUCCAGCCGGAUACAGAGUGAAUAGUUAACUACCCGCAGGUCAAUGGGGUCUUAAUUUUUGUUCCUGCUCCCUCUACAGAGGCCAGUGUCUGUGUGUUGCUAUGCAAGCGGCCUUGGAAUUGCAUCCCUUCUCAUUGAUUUGGGAUCUGGCCCCCGCAGGUUCCAGAGCAAUGCGGGUCCAGGCAGAAAUUCUUCAGGCUCUCAGGAUGUUGGAGGGGGCGCUGGCCGCGAGCUGGACCAUGAAGGCUGGCGUUCCCCACAUUCAGCUUUCUUGGGUUCGGAUCAUAAGCAGGUGUAGAUCUGGAGAAGCAGAAAAUGAACACAUUUUCUACUGACACCGAUGCACGGUCAACGGUGAAGACCUUCUCCCAGCUAGCAUUUGGGUUCUGUGUCCAAACGCGGCGCUUCAUGGCAGAGUAUCCAGCCACCAGAGUUGGUGUGUCUUGAGGACCUGAAUUCUUGAGUGUGUGCUGGUGACACAGCCCUCUGACAGUCGAUGGGGCCUCACAAAACACAAGUCCUGCCUUUUCCUUUUCACUCUGUGGCCGUCAUACAUACGGCUAAAAACAUUUCCUAGAGAUCAGUCAUGGUUCAGUCGUGUCCAAAACGCAGAGCCAAAGAUGCAUUUUCUCUUUUCACAGCAAAUGAAUGACUUGCCUUCGGAAAAAGAAUGAAAGCCAGACAUUCUGCAUCUUUCCCGUGUUGUAGAUGAUGCAUUUGGAUGACCACUUUGUGACUUUGGUGUCUUAGAAGGGAAGCAGUGGGGUCCUUGGCAUCUCAGAUUCACCACAAAACAGACGAGGAGAACUUCUGGAGGAUGGUUUGUGCUUUUGAAAUGGGAGGCUUGUUUGUGGGCUUUUACCUUCCUUCCUUGACCUGCAGACACCUCAUUGCAUUAGAUUCCUUUGGGUUUUAAGAAGCAGAGACUUGCUGAUACUGCUCCGUACGUGCUGGUUUGUUUCGAGUUGCCAUGGACGUAAAGAAGAAAGGAAGCAGCCCGCCGAGGCGCUCUCCACCUAGGCCUGCCCAAGAAGCCCAAGUCGUUCCAGAUAGCCAGGGAUAGCAGAACCGAACCACCCUGGCCAUCUUGAUCUUCUGUUUGCACCAGCAUCCACUGUUCCCAGGAUCCUACCAUGGUGAUGAGCUGAGGGUGACUCAGUUGGCCCAGGACUGAGGAGUUUCCUGGGAUGCAGGACUUUUUAGUGCUAAACCUAGGACAGUCCUAAGCAAACUGGAACAACCAGUCACCCUACUGGGUGACUCGAGGACCCUGCCUCUCUUCUACUUUCCCUGCUGUGACUGGCUGAUGCUCUUGAUGGGUCUGGCCAGUCGCCAUUCAAAACUCUUGCGUCAGGCAACUUCAUUGGCCACUGGGCUACCUAUAGAUGGGUGCCCGUGGACCCAGCACCAACCCAUCUUGACCAGAUUUGUUGUUUCCAGGGUCAUAGGGUUGCAUAAUCUAGAAUAAAAGCCUGGCUGUAAACAACCAGCUGAGACCACUUCCUUCAGAAGACUGCUGUGGACAGGUGGCCCUGGCAGGCAUUCAAGAAUCCCAGAAUCCCAAGAGCCUGAUGGAGUCUAAAAGCAUCCCUCUUAUCCCCGAUCUACCUCUGACUAAUGCAGGAAUUCCCUUUCCAACAUUGGAUGAGGGAUGGUCCAGCCCUGGGGGAGGCAGCCUUUCUGGCAGAGUAGCGGAAGAGAACUGUGAGAGAAGGUUGGAUGAUAUUCAACCUGGUGGGGAAGCAGAAUUUUAAAGAGCAACUCACAGGCUGCCAAGUGUCCAUGAAUGUUGAUUUCUCCAUCAGAUAUUGAGCCAAAUGCAUCUUAUUUCUGGGCCCAGGUAAAAUGAGUGAGUCAGGCCACACGCUUCCCAAAGCCUCUGCCAGCGCUGCCAUCCACAGGGCUGCCAUAUUGGAUGCAGUUCAUGACAAAGGAUUUGCUACUUUUUGUUCUCUCUGGCUCUCCUCCUGCCUUCCCUUCAGCUUGCUCCAAGAUCAUGUGGACACACACCUCAGCAACCUCUGCCCCUCUGACCUCAUCCAAGUCACUGGCCUUGGGAGGCAGCCCAGGUGUUUCGAUUGGGCCAACUGCUGACAUUCCCUGCUGGUGACAACUUCUCCUCAAAGGCCUUCUCCAGCGUGUUUCCAGCUGUCCGUCUUCGUGGUUAUCCAGACUUGUAGGUGAUAUAGAAGAGAGAAGGAGAAAUGAACACUGAAAAGAAAAUAGAACAUUGCAUUGCCGUCACCAAGGAAGAAGGCUGAUGGCUGAAGAUGUUUCCAGGCACCCGGAAUUUCAACCCUGAUGCUGGCGUGAGCCCUCUGGGGUGAUGGCUGCUCCGUUGCUUUAGGGGCGAAAUUCACUGGGAUGUGACUGUGUGCUUCUGAGGAUGUUGUUAGGCCCAUCACACGAGCCAGGCCAGUCCCCUAAAGGGGGCGUUCGUUUAUUUCAGCGUUGCAGGACGUCUGGGCCAGUGGGGCUGGGAAACAGCGCCUGGGUGGGUGGCUCAGAUGGGGGAUCUUUGUUCAGGCUCCGAGAGCAGAAAAUCACUAGAGGGACGUGUCGUAAGUGCUCUGACCCCUUCCCCGGGGAGUGUGGACCCUGGGAGCUGUCUCCUAAGCUGGCCUGAGCUCCUUGAGCCUCUGAGACCAGGUGUGGCCUGAGACACGGCUGGGAGCCGGGGAAUGAGUUAGCUGUGCAGGUUCAGAAAAGUAAGCCAUGUGAUCUGCAGGUUGGCUCAGCAUCCUGCAUUUUGUUUGCUUUUCUUUUCUCAGUCUCUCCAUCUCUCCAUCUCUGGGGGAUUUUGUUUGUUUGUUCUUGUUUUUGUCUUUUGUCUUCUUAGGGACACGCCCGAGGCAUAUGGACGUUCCUAGGCUAGGGUUCAAAUCAGAGCUGCAGCUGCCGACCUAGGCCACGGCCACAGCAACACCCGAUCUGAGCCGCCAUCUGAGCCACCUUACACCACAGGGAUCAAACCCAUGUCCUCAUGGAUACUAGUUGGGUUCAUUACCCCGGAGCCACAAUGGAACUCCCUCUGUCUCUCUUUCUCAUUUAAAUUUCCGUCUCUCCAUUGGGCUGAAGGAAACUAAGGAGCAGACAGCAGGCCACACUUGGGCUGAAGCUCUGAAAGAUGAAGCUAAUUCAUCGCUAGGCUGGUGUGUUUGUGGGUGGGAGGGUCCGAGGGGGAGAAGGGCAGGGAGAGAGGGCAGUUCUGCUGGGUCAGCCCCCGCCCCGCCAACCUGGAGAGCUGGCUUCCAGUUUUAAAGCCUUGGGGAGCUUGUGUUUUGUUUAAAUAAGGGAAGCUGUUUCCCUUACAUCCUUUCAAAAAUAAAUAAAUAGAAGUCUGUCAUAUCAUCUUACAGGUGCUGCUACCAACAAACAAAGGUUCAGAAAUGUGAAUAUUUUUUACAAAAGCAAAAGAUAAGAAGGUGGCCUAUGGGACCCAAGGAAGGAUUUUAGACACAAGAAAGCCAAUUAGUGGAGUUCCCAUCAUGGCUCAGUGGUAAUGAACCGGACUAGUGCCUGUGAGGACGUGGGUUCGAUCCCUGGCCUCGCUCAGUGGGUUAAGGAUCUGGCGUUGCCGUGAGCUGUGGUGCAGGUCACAGAGGCCGAUCAGAUCCCACGUUUCUGUGGCUGUGGUAUAGGCCGGCAGCUACAGCUCCACUUCGACCCCACUGUGUUGCGGCCCUAAGAAAAAAGAUAACAAGGAAGUUCCCGCUGUGGCGCAAUGGUUAACGAAUCCGACUAGGAACCAUGAGGUUGCGUGUUCGGUCCCUGCCCCUGCUCAGUGGGUUAACUAUCCGGCAUUGCCGUGAGCUGUGGUUUAGGUUGCAGACGCCGCUAGGAUCCCGCGUUGCUGUGGCUCUGGCUUAGGCCGGUGGCUACAGCUCGGAUUGGACCCCUAGCCUGGGAACCUCCAGAUGCCUCGGGAGCGGCCCAAGAAAUAGCAAAAAGACAAAACAAAAAAAAAAAAAAGAAAAAAA